Long non-coding RNA from Macaca mulatta (Rhesus monkey), 2614 nucleotides. RefSeq lists it as uncharacterized. The record is from RefSeq and is a predicted model, not a curated record. Lineage: Eukaryota; Metazoa; Chordata; Mammalia; Primates; Cercopithecidae.
UUCUCCUGCCUCAGCCUCCUGAGUAGCUGGGAUUGCAGGCAGCUCCUCCAAUUCCAGAGAGUACUGAAUAUUAGGCCAUAAUUGGAUUCUACAAUAAUUUUGGAGGAAAGAAGAGCUCAGGGAAGAGUCUAUAACUCAUGCCAACUUGGAAAAUGGAUGAAAUGGAUGGAAAGAAAAUUGAUUAUAACUUUAAAAGGACACUAAUAUUAUGGAAGAUGUUUAAAGGGCAAUCGCCUCUACAGAUUACAAAGCAAUUUAGGAAACGGAUCCACAAAUAUUUUAGAAAUACAUUUUUUCUUUAAGAAGAAAUGAUUAACUAUGCCUCGCUCCCCCUCUGGCUGUCAGUCACUUAACUGAGUUGUCUCAAUAUUUUAUUUAAAUGUGAUCCACAUUUGUCAGACUUGAGUGUUUCAAGAAUUGUGUUGCAGAGUCUCUUGAGAGAGAAGCCCAUUCUAAACGGUCCCACUAAUGUAAUAUUUAUGCUAAUGCAAAUGCUAUAAAGACAGUUGGAACAUCCCUUUGGACACUGCGUGAAUGAGUAUCAGCAUAGUUGUAUCUGACAAUGAUUUUUGUAAACUGAGAAACUUUGUGAGACCUAGGUAGGGCUGAAGGAAUGAGAUGCAUAGAUUUACACUCUGACAUGAUGUGGGGUUAUCCCCCAAAACAUAUAUAAACACGCACAAUUAUGCACAUUUGCAUAUAGCCUUACAUACUUACAUCCACAAAGAUAUAUACCAUUCAUGUAUAUACACACACAAGCACAUAUACAUGUAAAACACGAACAUACACAUGUAUAUAUAUCCACAUUUAUAUACAUCCACAUACAUACCCACAAACAUGCACAUGCACACACUCAUAUAAGCAUAUAUAGUCAUGCAUUGCUUAACAAAGUGGGUCUGCCUAAGAAAUGCAUCAUUAGGUGAUUGUGUCCUUGUGCGAACGUCAUAGUGUACUCACACAAACCUGGCUGCCUACACACUUAGGCUGUCUGAUAUCGCCUAUUGCUCCUAAACGGUAAACUUGUUCAGCAUGUUGCUGUAUUGAAAAUUGUAGGCAACUGUAAUACAAUAGCAAGUAUUUGUAUAUCAAAACAAUAUAAACAUAGAAAAGCACAGUAAAAAUAUAGUCUAAAAAAUAAAAAAUGGUCCACCUGUAUAGGACACUCACCAUGAAUGGAGCUAGCAGAGCUGGAAGUUGCUCUGGGUGAGUCAGUGAGUGCGGAGUGAAUGUGAAGGCCUAGGACAUUACUGUAUACUCAAGUAGACGUUAUAAAUACUGUACACUUAGACCACACUAAGUUUAUUAAAAGUUUUCUUUCUUUAAUAAUUAUCCUUAGCCUACUAUAACAUUUUUACUAUCUAAACUUAAAUUUAAAAAAAAACCAUUUUUACUCUUUUGUAAUAAUUCUUUGCAUAAGACACAAACAAAUUGUAUAGCUGGACAAAAAUAUUUUCUUUCUAUCCCUAUUCUAUGAGCUUUUUUCUAUUUUAAAAUGUUUAAUUUUUUAAACUUUUGGAUUGUUUCGUUAAAAAAAAAAACCAAACCAAGAUGCAAACACAUACAUUAGCUGAGGCCCCCACAGGGUCAGGAUCACCCAUAUCACUGUCUUCCACCUCUACUUCUUGUCCCACUGGAAGGUCUUCAGGGACAGGAACACGCAUGGAACUGUCAUCUGUGAUAACGAUGCCUUCUUCUGGAGUCCCUCCGGCGGGACCUGCGUAAGGCUCUCCUUGAGGAGAUGUCCCCCUUUUCAGAAACACAAUCACGACGGUUUGCCCGGUUUGUUUCCUCUACUCAUCACAGAUUUGCGUCAGCAACGGGUUGGUCACUAGGCAAUAGGAAUUUUUCAGCUGCACUGUAACCUAAGGGACCACUGGUGUCUAUGUGGUCCAGUGUUGACCCAGACGUCACUAUGCAGCACUUGACUGACUGCACACACGUAAAGCAUGAACACACACACCGCGUUGCCUAGUUUGACCUGGUGCCUGUUAUUUUUUUGUAUCUGUAGACAGCAGCACUUUAAGAUCUAUGUUUACAUCAGUACUCAGGCUGUUCCUGGUGACUCCUGAUGACGCAAGCAUCCAAACUUCACCCUGGAAUGUGCAGCUGAUGGUGAGGAUGGGCACCUCAGGGGUUGCAGUGACAGCAGUGGUUGCAGCCUACGGAGUGCUGACAGAGUGCCAGUCCUGGCCCUGAGCACCAUGCAUGUGAUUUACUCAUUACAGCGGAACCAUGAAGCAGACGUGGCUAUUUCACCAUCUCAUGGUUAAGGACAUGCAGUCUGCAGAGUCUCAAUAGCUUGCCCUGUGUCACACGUGGAGAGUGGACAUUGGCUCCAAACCCCCAAUCCACUUAUCCAGGCCACCGUAGCACCCUGACCCCUUAGAAUCUGGGGCUUUCUGCUGAAAGCCCAUAAACAGAUCUCAGUUCCCGUGGGGCCUGAGCCACAGGUACAAGGGCCCCUGGUUCUAUCACUUACUUUUGGUAAAUUCUCCACUUUAAACAAGAGCUACCUGGUCUGUACCUGGGAGACCACAGUUUUAUUUGAGGAAAAUAUUACCUGAAAUUGGGGCAAGGUUGCUCAACGGAAUAAAGGGUGCCCACUUUGUGUGUG